RNAcentral lists this ribosomal RNA (1246 nucleotides) under metagenome. RNAcentral describes it as "bacterial SSU rRNA". It matches the Rfam family "Bacterial small subunit ribosomal RNA", at positions 250 to 1487 of the family's 1533-position model. The record is from RNAcentral.
UGGUGAGGUAAUGGCUCACCAAGGCUUACGUUAGCUGGUCUGAGAGGAUGGUCAGCCACACUGGGACUGAGACACUGCCCAGACUCCUACGGGAGGCUGCAGUCGAGACUCAUUGUCAAUGCACGAAAGUGUGAACAUGCGACGCCGCGUGGAGGAAGACGGCCUUCGGGUUGUAAACUCCUGUCAGCAGGGAGUAAGGGUAGCAUUGCUAAUAGUAAUGUUAUUUGAUAGUACCUGCAGAGGAAGUCACGGCUAACUCUGUGCCAGCAGCCGCGGUAAUACAGAGGUGGCGAACGUUGUUCGGAUUUACUGGGCGUAAAGGGUCCGCAGGCGGUCCGGUGUGUCAGAUGUGAAAGCCCACAGCUUAACUGUGGAAUUGCAUUUGAAACUGCCGGACUAGAGUACUGGAGGGGAGAAGGGAACACUUGGUGUAGCGGUGAAAUGCGUAGAUAUCAAGUGGAACACCGGCGGCGAAGGCGCUUCUCUGGACAGAUACUGACGCUCAUGGACGAAAGUUAGGGUAGCGAAAGGGAUUAGAUACCCCUGUAGUCCUAACCGUAAACGGUGUGCACUAGACGUGGGUGGAUUUACCCCCAUCCGUGUCUGAGCUAACGCAUUAAGUGCACCGCCUGGGGAGUACGGUCGCAAGAUUAAAACUCAAAGGAAUUGACGGGGACCCGCACAAGCGGUGGAGCAUGUGGCUUAAUUCGAUGCAACGCGAAGAACCUUACCUGGACUUGACAUAUAGCUGCAUACGACCUGAAAGGGACGUAGCCUUCGAGGGUGCUAUACAGGUGCUGCAUGGCUGUCGUCAGCUCGUGCCGUGAGGUGUUGGGUUAAGUCCCGCAACGAGCGCAACCCCUGUGUUUAGUUGCCAGCACGUAAUGGUGGGAACUCUAAACAGACUGCUUGUGAAACCAAGAGGAAGGUGGGGAUGACGUCAAGUCAGUAUGGUCCUUAUGUCCAGGGCUGCACACGUGCUACAAUGGGUGAUACAAUAGGAAGCCAAGCCGCGAGGUGGAGCAAAUCCUCAAAAUCACCCCCAGUUCGGAUUGGAGUCUGAAACUCGACUCCAUGAAGUUGGAAUCGCUAGUAAAGGCGUAUCAGCUACGACGCCUUGAAUACGUUCCCGGGUCUUGUACACACCGCCCGUCACAUCAUGGAAGUCAGUUGCACCCGAAGUCGCUGAUCCAACCUGUCAAAGGAGGAAGGCGCCGAAGGUGUGAUUGAUGACUGGGAUGAAGUC